UAAUUUUUUAUUGAGAACGACUUUAUUUUUGGAAUUCACAAAUUUCAAACUUGCCAUCAAGUUCGAUAGACCCCAGAGGGAUAAAACGCUUAAGUCGAAUUUCUAUGAUAUAUAUACCUCCCUUUGGUACGGGCGUUGGUGCUUAAUAUUGUUUGCAGCUGUUACAAUUGGAUUGAAAAAAAAAAAAAACAAAAAAAAAAAAAAAAACCAAAAAAAAAAGAAAAAAAAUCUAUUUCAAAUCAAUUUUGGUUUUGUUUUUUUUUUUGUUU
This 269-nucleotide non-coding RNA is filed under the name Ctenophora environmental sample. Lineage: Eukaryota; Metazoa; Ctenophora. The record is from RNAcentral.